UAGCACGCGGUGCUAUCGGCGACCAGCUCACUAAAACAUAGACAACCUGCCCACAGGUACGGGAUAACCUCGGGAAACUGAGGGUAAUCCCGUAUAUGUGUGGUGUCCUGGAAUGGCCCACACAAAAAGCGAAAGCGCUUGUGGAUGGGUCUAUGGCGGAUCAGGUAGAUGGUGGUGUAACAGACCACCAUGCCUAUGACCCGUACCCGCCAUGGGAGUGGAAGCGGGGAGAUGGACACUGAAACAAGGGUCCAGGCCCCACGGGGCGCAGCACGCGCGAAACCUUCCCAAUGCGCGAAAGCGUGAGGGGGGGACUCCGAGUUCCUCCAUUUGGAGGAUUUUGUGGUGUGUAAGAAGCACCACGAAUAAGGGCCGGGCAAUGCCAGUGCCAGCCGCCGCGGUAAUACUGGAGGCCCAAGUGGUGCUCACUAUUAUUGGGCUUAAAGCGUCCGUAGCCGGUCUUCCAAGUCUCCCGUGAAAUCCUAUCGCUUAACGAUAGGGCGUGCGGGAGAUACUGGAAGGCUAGGGGAUGGGAGAGGCUGGAGGUAUCCCGGGGGUAGG
RNAcentral lists this ribosomal RNA (561 nucleotides) under uncultured archaeon. RNAcentral describes it as "bacterial SSU rRNA". It matches the Rfam family "Archaeal small subunit ribosomal RNA", at positions 64 to 630 of the family's 1478-position model. The record is from RNAcentral.